Molecule: ribosomal RNA, 321 nt
Filed under: uncultured bacterium
Lineage: Bacteria
Description: bacterial SSU rRNA
Rfam family: Bacterial small subunit ribosomal RNA
Source: RNAcentral
AGCGAACGCUGGCGGCAGGCCUAAAACAUGCAAGUCGAGCGCUCGUAGCAAUACGAGAGCGGCAGACGGGUGAGUAACACGUGGGAACGUACCCUUUGGUUCGGAACAACCCAGGGAAACUUGGGGCUAAUACCGGAUAAGUCCGCAAGGAGAAAGAUUUAUCGCCGAAGGAUCGGCCCCGCGUCUGAUUAGCUUGUUGGUGAGGUAACGGCUCACCAAGGCGACGAUCAGUAGCUGGCCUGAGAGGAUGAUCAGCCACACUGGGACUGAGACACGGCCCAGGACUCCUACGGGAGGCAGCAGUUAGGAAUCUUGGACAAU